This 429-nucleotide ribosomal RNA is filed under the name Actinomycetes bacterium. RNAcentral's name for it is "Actinobacteria bacterium partial 16S ribosomal RNA". It matches the Rfam family "Bacterial small subunit ribosomal RNA", at positions 355 to 776 of the family's 1533-position model. Lineage: Bacteria; Bacillati; Actinomycetota; Actinomycetes. The record is from RNAcentral.
UAGGGAAUCUUCCGCAAUGGGCGAAAGCCUGACGGAGCAACGCCGCGUGAGUGAUGAAGGUCUUCGGAUCGUAAAACUCUGUUAUUAGGGAAGAACAAAUGUGUAAGUAACUAUGCACGUCUUGACGGUACCUAAUCAGAAAGCCACGGCUAACUACGUGCCAGCAGCCGCGGUAAUACGUAGGUGGCAAGCGUUAUCCGGAAUUAUUGGGCGUAAAGCGCGCGUAGGCGGUUUUUUAAGUCUGAUGUGAAAGCCCACGGCUCAACCGUGGAGGGUCAUUGGAAACUGGAAAGCUUGAGUGCAGAAGAGGAAAGUGGAAUUCCAUGUGUAGCGGUGAAAUGCGCAGAGAUAUGGAGGAACACCAGUGGCGAAGGCGACUUUCUGGUCUGUAACUGACGCUGAUGUGCGAAAGCGUGGGGAUCAAACAGG